AUUCCUCGGUGACCGAUAGCGGAUAGUACCGUGAGGGAAUGGUGAAAAGUACCGACGGGAGCGGAGUGAAAUAGUACCUGAAACCGUGUGCCUACAAGCCGUGGGAGCGUCGGAUGGAAGCUUGCUUCCAUCUCGUGACUGCGUGCCUUUUGAAGAAUGAGCCUGCGAGUUUGCGGUGUGUUGCGAGGUUAACCCGGGUGGGGAAGCCGUAGCGAAAGCGA
RNAcentral lists this non-coding RNA (221 nucleotides) under Streptomyces afghaniensis 772. RNAcentral's name for it is "Bacterial large subunit ribosomal RNA". It matches the Rfam family "Bacterial large subunit ribosomal RNA", at positions 472 to 680 of the family's 2925-position model. Lineage: Bacteria; Bacillati; Actinomycetota; Actinomycetes; Kitasatosporales; Streptomycetaceae. The record is from Rfam by way of RNAcentral.